UACCAGCUCUCCGAGUGGUAGGGAUGAUUAUUGGGCUUAAAGCGUCCGUAGCCGGCUUAGCAAGUCUCCUGUUAAAUUCAGCGACCUAAUCGUUGAGCCGCGGGAGAUACUACUAGGCUAGGAGGCGGGAGAGGUCGACGGUACUUCCGGGGUAGGGGUGAAAUCCUAUAAUCCCGGGAGGACCACCAGUGGCGAAGGCUGUUGACUAGAACGCGCUCGACGGUGAGGGACGAAAGCUGGGGGAGCGAACCGGAUUAGAUACCCGGGUAGUCCCAGCUGUAAACGAUGCGAGCUAGGUGUUGGGGUGGCUACGUGCCACUUCAGUGCCGCAGGGAAGCCAUUAAGCUCGCCGCCUGGGGAGUACGGCCGCAAGGCUGAAACUUAAGGAAUUGGCGGGGAGGCACCACAAGGCGUGAAGCUUGCGGUUC
Molecule: ribosomal RNA, 428 nt
Filed under: uncultured archaeon
Lineage: Archaea
Description: bacterial SSU rRNA
Rfam family: Archaeal small subunit ribosomal RNA
Source: RNAcentral